CUUGACAAAUGAUGAAUAUCCGCUACUCUGAGAGCAAGGAAGGCGGAGCGGCGCAUCCGCACAUACAGGGCUGGGCAUCUUUCCCGGUGGAAGGUUCCCUAUCAGGCCGCCAGCCCUUGAGCCAUAUCUCCACUUUCCCCUUGAUGGUCUGAGAUUCCCACCCACUUCUAGAAGCCCCCAAACCUUCUCUUCAUCGAUCGAUUUCAUUUACUUAUAAAGACAGUUGUUUCCUUUCAAAACUUCACAGUGAUGGAAUUCCCUGAUGGCGCAGCACAUGGAGAAUCUGGCGUUGUCAUUACUGGGGCUCAGGUGGCUGCUAUGAUGAGGGUUUGAUCCCCAGCCCGGGGAAUUCUACAUACCAUGGGUGUGGCCAAAAAAACCCCACAAAAACAAAACAAAAAUAUUUCUUUUUUUUUUUUUUUUUGGUCUUUUUGUCUUUUAGGGCCGCAUCUGUAGCAUAUGGAGGCUCCCAGGCUAGGGGUCCAAUCCGAGCUGCUGCCAGCCUAUACCACAGCCACAGCAAUGCCGGAUCCAAGCGGUGUCCUCGACCUGCACCACAGCUCAUGGCAAUGCUGGAUCCUCAACCUACUAAGCGAGGCCAGGGAUUGAACCCGCAUCCUCAUGGAUGCCAGUGGGGUUCGAUAACCGCUGAGCCACGACGGGAACUCCAAAACAAAACAAAACAAAAUUUAUCAUGACAUUGAAAGCUGGGAGAAAAAUCUUCUAGUUUGUGGAAAUAGAUCCUGGCUCAUCUCUUGGGGGUGGAGGAUGGGACUGCUCCUAAGAGGUUGACCCUCCCAAAAGGGUUUGUUGGGUUUUUUUGGUUUGUUUGUUUUUUUUUGUUUUGUUUUGUUUUUUUUGUCUUUUUGCUAUUUCUUUGGGCCGCUCCCGCGGCAUAUGGAGGUUCCCAGGCUAGGGGUCGAAUCAGAGCUCUGCUGGCCUACACCACAGCCACAGCAACACAGGAUCCUAGCUGUAUCUGCAGUCUACACCACAGCUAGCGGCAAUGCCGGAUCCUUAACCCAGUGAGUAAGGCCAGAGAUUGAAUCCCCAAACUCAUGGUUCCUAGUCCGAUUCCUUUCUGCUGCACCAUGAUGGGAACUCCCCUUCACAGCUUCUGCCUGGGCAGCUGAACAGGGAGACAGUCAUAAGCCUGGGCUCUGGGUCACCUAACACCAGCUCAUGCUAUUGAGCCAGAUGUUGCAUUGAAGCAACUUCAGAGUUCCCGCUGUGGCAUAGUCGGUUAAGAACCUGGGUCACCCCAGAGGCAUGGGUUCAAUCCCCGGCCUGGUAUAGUGGGUUAAGGACCCGGUGUUGCCACAGCUGCAGCUUGGAUGCGAUCUCUGGCCUGGGGACUUCCAUAUUCCACAGCUGCAGCCAUUAAAAAAAAAAAAGAAGAAGCAGCCUCUGUUUCCUCCCCUGUGCAAUGGAAUAAUACCUACCUCGCAGGGUUGUUGUGAAGACUGAAUGGCGAACACGUCAGCCCUCCCUUAGCAGCAGGGACAGUGCCUCAGAGAAGCUCCUUCAGGUCCUCCUCAAGCCCAAACUCCACCACCAACUCCUGCCUGAGGGCCAACCAGCAUUUCUCUCUAAGGUCGGGCAUUGAACCUGCACCACAGCAGCAACCCAGGCCACUGCAGGGACAACACUGGCUCCUUAACCCACUGCGCCACAAGGGAGCUCGCCAAACAUAAAAUUCCACUAACUUUUUUUGAAAUGACAGCCUCAUCAUCCUUUGCUUUUCCAAAACAAUAUGCACAAUCCUGGAGUAAGUGAAAUUGUGAUCGGAGAUCAGAGCCCCUCCUUCACACAUGGAACCUGUGCGUGGGAAACCCACUCCAAGGGCUCAGAGAUGAGUUAACCCAGGUGGGGCUGCUGGAUCCCUUGAUGAAAAACAGAGUUUCUGUUUAUGAAACCAGGAGGAAUCAUCCUUUGUUUUCCUCAGUGAAAAAGGAUUUUUUUGGCAGGGGGGGGAAUUGCCAUUGGGACAAGUGAAAAUUCAUUCUUGUCAAAUUUGCAUAUGGAAUGGACAAUUUUUCCAAUGGGCAUAAACUGAGUCAACCCGUGUAUCCAUCAACCUUUAUUGCUACUGCUUCCGACUGUUUGCAAAGCAUUUUCACAACCAUUAUCUGCCAUAGGAUCCAAUUCAUCCUGAAUAAGUCCUUCUCCAGAAACUCAGCUUUUCUAGAGAACUUGAGGUCCCCUGGUUUAUCAAGGUUGAAGCCCCCCGGUUGGGGAUCCCACCAAAAGAUUCUCACUCUAGUUUUUGAGACCACAUUUUCCAACUACCUUGUAGAAUCGUGUGUGUGUGUCUGUAAGACGCUGUAUUUCAUGGAGUUUAAGAUGUACAUUUUUUCACAUUUAAUAUCUUUGAAUAUGGGACACAUUUCACAAUGAAGUCUUUGCUUCCUGUUUUAACCCUGUGUCGUAGGUCCAGCAAGGUCUCCUCAAAUUCACGUCCCCCUGGAAGCUCAGAAUGUGACCUUAUGUGGAAGUAAAAUCAUUAAAUUUUUUUUAUUCAAGUAUAGUUGAUUUACAGUAUUUCUUCAAUUUCUGUUGUACAGCAAAGUGAGCCAACCACACACAGUUCCCUGUGCUGUAAGGUAGGGCCCCAUUGCCCAUCCAUUCCAAAUAUAACAGUUUGCUUCCCAAAACUGAAACUGCCCGUCCCUGCCCCUCCCUCCCCCCUCCCCCCUGGGAACCACAAAUCUGGUCUCCUUGGCCACGAUCCAUUUCUGGAAAUAAAAUCUUGUAGAUGCCAUCAGCUCUGAUGAGGUCACAGUGUACUGGCCCUGCAGCCUACAUGACUGGUGUCCUUCUAAGGAGAAGAGAGGACAUCACGAGACAGAAGAGACACGGGGAAGAGGGCCAUGUGACAACAGAAGCAGAGAUUACAGUGCUGUGUCUACAAGCCGAGGAACACCAAGGACCUCAGGCAACCACCAAAAGCCAGGAGGAGACGAGGAAGGAUGUGCCCCUAGAGCCGGUCAGGCGCUGCCAGAUCCUUAACCCAUUGAGUGAGGCCAGGGAUCGAACCCACAUCCUCACAGCAACAAUGUUGUGUCCUUAACCCACUGAACCACACCAGGAACUCCAUUUUCCUGCUGUUUCAAGCCACUCAGAGUGUGGUGAUCUGGUACGGAAGCCUCAGGAAAGGAACACAGCCUGCCCAGCCUAAGUGCCCUGAGGCCUGCAGGCACGUCCAUCCGCACAGGUGACACGCGUACAGGUUUGGUUUGUCUCUGUUGCUUUUCCCUCGUUCACGGGGAAGGAGGAAAGCAACGAGGAGCCUCUGAGCUGCCGGCCAUGUGCUGUGGAAGCCGCUCUCGCUGAGACCAGCUCGGGAACUCCGGCACCUCCCGGCCACAGCACUGGUUGACAGGCAGGGAAUCUGGGCGCGUGGAGGUGAUGCUGGGCCUGCCCGCUGGGCGAAGCUGGCAAGGAGAAAGCCGUGCGUUUUGAAAUGAAAGGAACACACUAAGCAAUCACAUCCGUCUCCCCUGCAAGAGGAUUGGUUCGUGUCCAGAAAGUUUUCUUAAAUUCAACCUGUUCACUGCUCUGAACCUGUGUUCAAAGGCUAAGCCUUUGCCUUCUCUGCCCCGGCAGACCAAGGCAGCAGUUCAUUGCACAGGCAGCAGUAGCAAAGGGAAUGAAGCAUCCUUGGGUCUGAGCUACAUCUGGGAGUCCUGGCGAAUCUCAGGAGGCCAGCUGCCCCCAGGCCCAGUUCCCAACAAGGUCCCGGGAGCCGGGUUCUCCUGAAGCCAUUCCUUCUCCUGCCAAUCAGGGUACCGCUCUCCAGGGCUGGCCUGGUGGCCUUAGGGCACAGUGGUUACAAUCUGUUAUUAGUGGCAAGCAGUUCCUUCUCAAGGAAGGAAGCAAGAAAGGAAGGAGGGAGGGAAGGAAAGAGGGGGAGGGAGGGAGGAAGGGAGGAAAGACUUAGCACAAGACCUGGAACCGAGCAGGAUCUUCCCUGGUGUCUGUCACGCCCCUCCCUGCAUUAAACAGAGCUGCUUUUAUAUCAUCACAGAGGGGUUUUGGUGGAAAGUAUCGUGAUUACACCCGCGUCAGAGAGGCCCCUUCCAUGUACCUCAUACAUGUGACAAACACACACACAAAGCCUGCGGAUUAAAGAGCACAU
Molecule: long non-coding RNA, 4138 nt
Filed under: Sus scrofa (pig)
Lineage: Eukaryota; Metazoa; Chordata; Mammalia; Artiodactyla; Suidae
Description: lncRNA (ENSSSCG00030056158.1)
Source: RNAcentral